GUAAUUUCUUUUUUUUUUUUUUAAGGAUUGGCACCUGGGCUAUCAACUGUUGCCAAUCUUUUUUUUUUUUUUCCUGCUUUAUCUCCCCAAAACCCCCCUGUACACAGUUGUAUAUCUUAAUUGCAGGUCCUUCUAGUUGUGGGAUAUGGGACGCCGCCUCAACAUGGCCUGACGAGUGGUGCCAUGUCCGCGCCCAGGAUCCGAACCCUGGGCCGCCGCAGCGGAGCGCACGAACUUAACCACUCAGCCACGGAGCCAGCCCCCGUAAUUUCUUAUUUUUGAAUCUGUCUCCUCCAUUUAAUUGUAUGACCUUUAGUCAAGAGUCUUUGUCUGGUUCAUGUAUAGCUGAGUGCCUGGCACACAGAAAGUAGCUCAAAAAUAAACUGCUUGGAAAAGAAUGGGAGGAAGACAUGGACACAGAAGAUGGAUGACAAGAAGGAAGGAAAAAUGAUAGGGAUGUGGUAGAAAGAGAAAAUAAUAAAGCGUAGAGUUUCUAAGGCCCCAAAACAUGGUCAUAAUCUAGAUAAUUUUUACUAAGUCCUUAAAACAAGUUACAUGAAAUACAAGUACAAGAGCAAAUUCAUGAUUAAAACCUUCCUUUGGAAGAAGAAAAGGCUUAUGCAACCCUUUUGGAGUACAGGCCUGACAAAUGUGGCAUGCUGACAGCAUAUGAUAAAUAAGACUGAUUAAAAAAUUGUUUUUUACAAAGAUAAACAGAAGGUUAAAAUUCCUGGUGAUAAUACUCAAACUAUUAAUAAUUUUGAUUUCAGGUUAAUACUUUCUUGGGGGAAGAAGAGAGGACUGCAGAGGGCAUUCUAAAUAGUUAGAAACCAAUGUAUGACCACUGAUAUUAAUGAUUCUUGGGAAAAUUCAUGAUGUCACUUGCUUUGAACAAUAUGAGGACCAGCUGUAAGUGUAUAGAAUGAAGACUAAUGACUAACUGUUCACAUGCAAAACUCAGACUUGCUGAAGAGGACUUCUUAGGGAAUACCAAAUUGGUAGGUUAAAUUGUUAGCUCAUUUUAAUUAAAAGUGUGAAAAGACAUUGCAUUUUGCAAGAUGAUAUUCAGCCAGCUGUCAAUUCUUAGCUGAAAGAAACUCACCCAAAGAGUUGUUAUGGUGCCAGAGCUUUCAAAUAUAUUUUGCAGGUAUUUUACUGUUGAUUCUUUAUUUUUAAAAGAUGUGUUCAAAGCAUAUUUCGCUAUACUCAAUACAUGGUCCUCAUCAGAAAGUCUCCGAUCAUCUCAUAGUUUACACUUUUUAUCUUUACUUACUUAUCCAAGACAAUACGUUUGUUCACUGUCCUCUUCUCAGAGGAGAGGAGUGUUACCAAUAUGUCCUACUUCCUUGGUGUUUUGGGUUUUUUUUAUUCCCUGGUCAUAUACUUCUGUUGACCAUCUUAUGCUUUUUGGAGAAAAGAGGGCAAGUUGAUGAAAUCUCUUAGUAAGUACUUCAUUCACCUUCAAGAAAAGAUGUCAGAAUAUCUUGGUUGGGCAGUCUCUUAAGUCAACCCCAAUGAGUUUCUGACAUAAUUAGUCAGAUUUUUGCCCAAAACAGACACAAGCUAGCUGAACUCUGCAUGUAGCAGCAGAUGAUACCAAUGAGUUGGAUUUGGAACAACGGUGAAAGUGGCCGCCUUUGAAUCCUGGAUCAUUGGAGUGAUAUCCCACACAGAAGCUGGUCUAGACAAUAGGGGUCGGAGAGCGUUAAUCUGAAGAUUCACCAGACACAAAGCCAUAAAUCUGCCCGAGGGUAGGUAGACUUGCAGCAUUUUCUAUUUGCUCCUCUAAGAAGACUCUAGGCUCUGCCUGAUCCUCCAUUGCCUUUGCCCUGAAAGAUUGAAUUACUCACAACGUCAAAAUUCAGUUUCUUCAGAGCAUCUCAUAUCCAGCAAAGAUGAGAAGGAGAACAAAAGUACCAUCCAUUCACUUCUGAAACUGAGUCAGAAAACCCAAGGGGAGACCUUGUAGAGAUACGAUAUUUGAGUGUUUGAGAUAUUUUGUUUUCCAACAGAGUAAAGCAAGGGAGAUGUUUCUCAUUUUAUACUCGUGUUCCUAAUGAGCAAUGCUGAAAUUUAUCUAAUUGCAGUAUCCGAGUGCUUUUUUUUUUUCUUAAAUGUAUGUUAUGGUAAAAGUUCUUAAUUAAAAUCCACAUUAUAAGGUGUUCACAAGAGAAUACUACCAGUAAGUUGGAUAUCUGCAGUACAUUUUCACAAAAUUCAAUUGUUAAAUAGUAAACCUGAAAAGUUUCCUGCACACAAAAUGAUAGAUUAGGCAAUUGUGCCUGCAAACUCAAAGGCAUCAUUAUAUCUUGUCUGCAAGCACAACUGAUAAAUGAUUUCUCUUGCAAAGGGAUUUUAUAUUUUUGUUUUGACUUUUGUUUCCCCUGAGAUUAACUGGAUUGUCAACGUGUGUGGCUAUAGACUUUAAGAUCAUUUUUCUUCUUCUCUGUCUCUCUCUCUCUUCUUUUAGACAAAGAAAUCUUGGACAUACUAAAUAAGUCACAUCUUUUAACCCUUUCUACUUGUUCUGGCUUGAGAAAACUUCUGUCGUAGGAUGCUCAUUCUAUGGACCGGUUGACAAUUUGAGAUAGCUUCCAGUGCUAGAGCUCCACAAUUAGUAGGCAAUUCCCUGUGUCAAUCAAAGGAAUUCUUUCUUGCACCUCUCCAGAUAAAGUUUGGACUCCUUUAUACUCUUGGGAUCCUCUAUAUGUUGAUAUCACUUAAAAGGGAUACCUUAAUGUGUACAGAAAGAAAUGUUUCAUUUCAUGUGCCAAGAAUGAGUUGCUAGUAGCUUCUUAGAACUCUAUGCUUAGAAGGAUCCUGAGGGUACUUCCUUUCUUAAUAGGAAAGAAUGCCAAGAUCAUCAAGGCUGACUUCUAUAGGAAUGGGAAGUUCACAGGGGCACAAAUUGCCUUUUCACAAUCUGUUCCCUAAUGUGUGUUUUAUAUCGACAGACUUUGUCUUGAACUGCCCACUUUGACCCAUUACUUGCCAAAGUCUCUUAACCAAAGAUUAUUUUCCAGUUUAUCUCUACAUCAGGGAAUAGACCCUGGACACUUACUUCAACCUCAACUUACCUGCAAUGUGGCUUAUUCUCUCUGCUUCAGUUUCCAGGCUAAUUUUGUAAGUAGUUUGUAUUAGAGUAAGUCUACGUGAGAAUUUCAUAAUGAAUUAUGCUCCCCUGAUAAUAUAUUUACAUUCUCAUUCAAAUUUGGGACUUUAAAAAACGUGAGGAAAUGACUUUCCCCCAUCCAUAUGCACCCAGAGUUGUGUGGCUCACUGCAUCAUACCAGAAUGGUCAGUUCCACCUUAUUAGGUCAGCCCUGGAAAUGCAUUCUGACUUUUUCUUUGCUCAUGAAGGCAGUGCUCAAGAAAGUCUUGUAACCUCAGGAUUAAGGCCCUAUAAGAAGUGAACUGUAAACCUAUGCACAAAACGGGCCAGCAUCUUGUAAAUAUAGAGAAAAGAUUUUGGUUGCAAUUUUUGCUACUGUACACUUUGUUGAUUAACACAAGCUCAGCAUUCCACAUUAAACACUCAUGCAGAUUUCAGCUCUUUUAAAAAUUGGUAACCAAGAAACACAGCUUAAGAAACAAACUUCCUACACAAAAAUAACCUGGGAGGAAGGGGAAAGAGUCACAUGUAGUAAAUACACAUUUUAGUCAGCACUAAACAUGAAACAGAUUAAUUAUCCAGAAACAGACAAAAUUGUCCUCUAAAUUGUUCUUCUAGUGCACCGGCUGUCCAUUGACUCAUUAUUAAAUUAUUUGCCAGUCAAUGAAUUUUCUUUUCUUCAAAUGCUUUUUGAGCUGGAAGGAGUUGGCAUUGAUGAAAGGCUUUACGAAAGGAGAAAGGUUAUAUCCACACGAUCCUGAAUCAACUGGUUAUAAAAUUGAAAAUUCUGUUGAACCACAAGGAAGUUUUCUCUAUUCCUCUUGAGCUGGGUCUCUGAAACUCCAAAAGACAUCUUGCUUGUGAUAUCUGAGUCUGGAAAGCAGCUUGCUAGUGUCUAAAAAUGGACAGUAUUUUUGAGUCUCCACACUGGAUUAUAUUUCUCCCAAUGAAGAGUAAAGUAUUUGAACUUCUCUGUAUCUCACCUGUGAAGUGGGGGCUGGAGGUGGUGGAAAUUCUCUCACUUAUUCUGAAAGCAUGUGAGUAAGUUCUCUGUAUUAGGUUUUACUAGGCUUAAUACUACCGAGAGAGAGGGAUAAAUUAUUCCUCUUGGCUGCUCUUAAGUUACCCUGGAAUAAAAAUCAGUUUGAAUUUCUCUUCUGGUGAGUCAAAGGGGUAAAAUUAAAAGAGUCAAAGCACUCCAAUAUGUCAACAAUAAAUUUCCUUCUUCACUGUAGAUGUGUGAAGAGAUCUCAUACUUGCUAAAGGUAUCAAUGAUGUUUUGCGUUUCUACAGCACUUUAGAGGUGCCUUGUAAUUCUAUACAUAUUAUCUAUAUAUAGCUAUAUGAUUGACAGGUAGAUAGAUAUAUAUUGUGUAUCACUUUAUUCUAUACAUGUGACCCAGGUAUUCAGGCUGCGAAUACUUUGUUCUUUCUAUUCCACUACUGAUUUACAAGGAAAUAUCCUCCUGUCUCUUGGAUAAUUUGCCUCCUUAAGAGAACAGAUAAUUUGCAUGAGUGACCCUCAAGUAGGCAAUAGCUAAAAAUAAAAGCAUAACCCAAGUCCUAUGCUUUCAACGUCAGAAGAACAGAACAGGAACACACAUGUAUGACAUCAGGACCCAAGUUUCAUAUAAAGCUGAUUUCAGAAGAAGCACUCAGGGUGUGCAUUAGUAAAUCUUUUCUCUGGUUUUUAGACUCCACUGUCUUCCACACAGGAUGUUUACCUCAGGUUAGCUUUGCUCCUGGUCGUGAAAUGGCUGCUGCACAGUUCCAUGCUUCAUACGUGAAUGAAACAAAAUCUAGCAGAAAAAAAGACUGCCUCGUCCUGAUCUUAAGAGUGAAAACGAACCUGCUUCUGGAAAAGUUCUUUCUGAGAAAUCUCCAAGCCAACCUCUCCUCCUUUUUUAUUGGCCAGAACUAGGUUUCAUGUCCACUCUUAAAAUAAUUUAUUGGCAAGGGGAAUUUUUGAUUGGUUUAGACAAAUUAGGAUCUGCCCUUUAACUGGAGAGAAGGUUCUCUUUCCUGAAGGAUAAUUUGGGGUAAAAAAUGGAGUUCCAUUGAAAAGGAAUAGAACAUUUUGUGAGGGGGUGGGAAAGAAGGCAAACAAUGGUCUGUUAAACAACGCUUCCAGAAGCUAUCAAGAAAUUCCCAUUUUCUAACUUUUCUUGUUUUGAGGAUUCCUUAAGCAAUUCCCCAUUCCACACACCUUCCGAAUAGUUCCAUUUUUGCUUCUUGCCUACACUGCAUUCUAUCACAGAUUUGUUGCUUGUAUAGAAUUUUCUCUUUAAUUUCCUCUUCACUGGGACCUCCAAGCCAAGUCAUUCAGAGUGUUUAGAAGUACCCACUCAGUUGCUAAUUAUUACCGUCUAUUAAUAAUUUAAAUAAAUUUAAAAGCUGAUUAUUACUGAGUAUUUACUGGGUGCCAGGCAUUGUGCUAACUGCUCUGCCCGCAUGAACUUAUUUAACCAUCAUUUUACCUCAGAGGAAGGUACUGUUACUAUUAAUCUUCUUUGAUAGAUGAAGAAACAGCUUCAGAGUGGCUAAGGAACUUGCUCAAGUUCACACAGUUAUAAGCGGCAGAGCAAGUCCUUGAAUCUACACUUAUCUGACUCCACAAUCCACGCUUAACGAUUGCUUGGUAUCUUCUUUCAGAUUAGAAGCCAUAGUGAAUGAGUUGAUAUAAUCAUUGAUCGACUUCCACGUUUAUAAUUACUCAUAGCUCUGGCCUUCCUAAUAGCUCAGUGAGUACAAACAUUAUGAUAUCCUAGCCUCAGAGUUCCUGAGAACAUGGGGUGGUCUGGGGUCAUUACCAGCACAGCUAAAGGUCACCAGAUGAGUGAAUCAGAGGAAGAGCUCAGAACUAAAACAAGAGUCUUCUGACUCCAAGUCGGUGCUCUCACCAUAAAUCAUCAAAUUCCUUAUUCAGGCCACAAACCACUGUUCCAUGAAGUUCAAGACUUCUUAGCUCAUUGUCCAAGUAACCUCCUCCUGGUUCCCUAGUACAUAUUAGGUAAUGAUGUUAACCUUGAUAGAAAGAAGCAAACUCGAUAAAGGAAAGGUGUGGCAUGUUUUCCCAUGACCCCGAGACAAGCCAGAGGUUUUGAAUAAGAACCACAGUCCUAACAGGUAUCCAAAUGCACCUUCCAGGCCCUGGUUACAGAAUCUUUCUGAGAACUCCUGCUCCUCAGAGAAGAGAGGAGGAAGUUAACAGGUUUCACUUUGUCCACGGGACAAGAUUGCUUAUACCGCCUCUGUUUCCCAAUCUAUCAAAAGAGCAUCUGUCAGUCCCACUGAAUGAGACAAAGUAAUGCUGUGUUGCCGGGGAAAGGAGAAAACCAAGUCAAGAGAAGCAAACCAUAUACACCAACUGCUCUAAAUGUGACCUCUAGUCCAAUAACAAAAAGUCCUAAGUUCAGUGUGCUGAGGAAAGAGCAUCCUUACUAAUAGGUGAAGUACAACUUCUCUGUGGGAAAGGGCCCCCACAAAUCAUUGCUUUCUCUUCUCAAGUACCUAUUAGACCCUUUCCAAAAGGUUAAUCAUCUUCACCAUGGGGGACCGCCACUGUGCGAGUCUAAAAUCUAUGACUUGCAAAUGGAGAUUGGCAGGGUGAACCACAAGGUCUGUCAUCUGCACUCACCUCUGGUCACUGGUUCAGAUUCAGGGCAGUCUGCCCCUAUGGCUGGGAGGUGAAAUGAACACUUUGGUAACUGUCAUGAGUGUGGGGGUGCAGGCUUAAUGAGUUGGUGUUCCUUUGGACUUCUACUUGAGGUAUUUGUAUGUUAGAGGGUAAUAUUGGUAUAUUAGAAGACGUUUUGUGCAGACAAAUCAAAGUCUGUAGGGACUGGUCUUAGAAAACCAUCAUAAAUCCAGACCUUUACCUCCUAUCCUUUUGCCCUGCCUAAAUAGUGGAGAAUGCCUCCUCUUAUAACCAUUUGCAACACCUCUGUGAGCAAUCUUUUGCAAAAUUUGUCAUGCCGCAGUUUAACUGUCACUUCUUCAAAGAGAUCUUCUUGAAUCAUUAAUCUGAAGUAGCCAUCCAAUAUUCUUUUCUUCACAGUGCUUAUCUCCAAAUAAUUUUGCCUUCCAUAUGUUUACUACCUCUUUCCCUGCAAGAGAGUGUACACUCUGUGAGAACUGGAGCUUUAUCUUUUGCACCAGCUAAUUUGAGCUUGUCUGCUGGUCAUA
Molecule: long non-coding RNA, 7297 nt
Organism: Equus caballus (horse)
Lineage: Eukaryota; Metazoa; Chordata; Mammalia; Perissodactyla; Equidae
Source: Ensembl